Molecule: ribosomal RNA, 460 nt
Filed under: uncultured bacterium
Lineage: Bacteria
Description: partial 16S ribosomal RNA
Rfam family: Bacterial small subunit ribosomal RNA
Source: RNAcentral
CCUACGGGUGGCAGCAGUGAGGAAUAUUGGUCAAUGGACGAGAGUCUGAACCAGCCAAGUAGCGUGAAGGAUGACUGCCCUAUGGGUUGUAAACUUCUUUUAUAUGGGAAUAAACUGUUCCACGUGUGCCUUUUUGUAUGUACUUUAUGAAUAAGGAUCGGCUAACUCCGUGCCAGCAGCCGCGGUAAUACGGAGGAUCCGAGCGUUAUCCGGAUUUAUUGGGUUUAAAGGGAGCGUAGAUGGGUUGUUAAGUCAGUUGUGAAAGUUUGCGGCUCAACCGUAAAAUUGCCAUUGAUACUGGCAGUCUUGAGUACAGUUGAGGUAGGCGGAAUUCGUGGUGUAGCGGUGAAAUGCUUAGAUAUCACGAAGAACUCCGAUUGCGAAGGCAGCUUACUAAACUGCCACUGACAUUGAUGCUCGAAAGUGUGGGUAUCAAACAGGAUUAGAUACCCCUGUAGUC